CCUACGGGUGGCAGCAGUGGGGAAUAUUGGACAAUGGGGGCAACCCUGAUCCAGCCAUGCCGCGUGUGUGAAGAAGGCCCUCGGGUUGUAAAGCACUUUCAGUGAGGAAGAACGCCUGGUGGUUAAUACCCAUCAGGAAAGACAUCACUCACAGAAGAAGCACCGGCUAACUCGUGCCAGCAGCCGCGGUAAUACGGAGGGUGCGAGCGUUAAUCGGAAUUACUGGGCGUAAAGCGCGCGUAGGUGGCUUGAUCAGCCGGUUGUGAAAGCCCCGGGCUCAACCUGGGAACGGCAUCCGGAACUGUCAAGAUAGAGUGCAGGAGAGGAAGGUAGAAUUCCCGGUGUAGCGGUGAAAUGCGUAGAGAUCGGGAGGAAUACCAGUGGCGAAGGCGGCCUUCUGGACUGACACUGACACUGAGGUGCGAAAGCGUGGGUAGCAAACAGGAUUAGAUACCCUUGUAGUC
This 464-nucleotide ribosomal RNA is filed under the name Vreelandella stevensii. Its description in RNAcentral is "partial 16S ribosomal RNA". It matches the Rfam family "Bacterial small subunit ribosomal RNA", at positions 338 to 795 of the family's 1533-position model. The record is from RNAcentral. Lineage: Bacteria; Pseudomonadati; Pseudomonadota; Gammaproteobacteria; Oceanospirillales; Halomonadaceae.